Heterocephalus glaber (naked mole-rat) is the source of this 2868-nucleotide long non-coding RNA. The record is from Ensembl. Lineage: Eukaryota; Metazoa; Chordata; Mammalia; Rodentia; Bathyergidae.
UGUCCAGAGUUCAGAUCCCCAUAGAGGACUCUGUCCUUACUGAAGCUGGGCCCUGCUUGGCAGCAAAAUGGCCCCAAGCUCCUUCGGCUGGCUCCCUGAAGCAUACUUCCCAUUUUGAGUCCUUGCUCACAAGCCUUGAAUUCUGCCUAUAACAAUAAAAGCCCUCAGUUGGCAUUAUCCCCUACAUCCACUAUAUCCAGGGUGCCUGUCUCCCCCCCAAAAAUCUUUACUGAGAUAAAAUUCAUAUCCUGUACAAUGGGAAAUGACCCUGUACAAUUCUGUGACUCAGUAUCAUUCAGAGUUCAGCAACCAUCAGCACAAUUUUAGAACUUACCAUCCUGAAAGUAAACAGCACCCCUUAUCACUUGAGCCCCCAUCUCUAGGCAACCCCUAAUCUACUUUCUGUCUCUGUAGAUUUGCCUGAUCUGUACAUACCACACAUGGAAUCAGAAAUAUCCAGGGUUGCUUGGCCAUUGAAUGUCAUUGUCCUUCCCCAGAGACUUCUAUCUCCCGCUGAUCUUUGCUCACCAGAAGUGCCAGAAAUUGUCAACCUGACUGGUGUCUGCUGCUGUUAGCAGAUACCAAGCUUAUCGAGAGUGUGUAUCCUUAAAGCCACACCUUUAUGCUUGUAUCGUUCUGAACCAUGGCUGACAAAGUUGGGGGGCUGGAGGGCUGGGAUGUAGCUCAGUGGCACUGUGCCUCCCUGGCAAGCACAAGGUCCUGAGUUCGAUCCCCAGUACCAAAAAACAAGUUCAAUUGGGCCUGGGAUUUAGCUCAGUGGUUUUGCCGCCUGCUGCUCAAGCACAAGGACCUGAGUUCCAUCCUUGGUACUAAAAAAACAAGUUCAAUUAACAACAACAAAAAAAAAAUUGGGGGGCUGGGGUAGUUCAGUGGUAGACCACUUGCCUGGCUGGGUUCAAUUUGCAGCACUCAAAAAACUACCUUGGCCCAGAAGAACCCCCCAACCCCAAGAGCAGAUGCUGCCACCCUCUGACUAUCCUACUUCUUCACUCAAGGUAGGCAGGAAGCAGCACGUCCCUGUGCAGCCCAAACUCCAACAUGCCACCUGUGCCCAGGCAUGGGUUUCUCCCAGGGCACCUACCCAGGACCACUGUCCAGUGCGAACACGUGCUGCCACCGUCCAAGCUUCUGACCCCGGGGAGGCAUCCUGGCUUUCCCCUGCCCUCUAUCUUGAUGCCAACCCAAAAAAGAAAAGAAAAAAGACAUAACUAGAUGUAACUAGACUGUGACCUGAACAUUGCUUCAGUUCAAAACCAGUUUCUCUUUUCUGCUCAGGAAGGUCCCCAGAGGAGAUCUUCCUUCCUUCCUUCCUCCCUUCCUUCCUUUCUUUCUCCUGGGUUUUGUUUGUUUGGGGGAUUUUCAUCUGGUUUUGGGGGUUAUUUUUCAGUGCUGGAGAUCAAACCCAGGGACCUGAACCUCUCUACCACUAAGCCACACGCCCAGCCAUGGGUUUUAAGGGCUCUGUUCAGUCACUUAGACAUCCAGCCAGCAGUCUGAGCUGGGAUCUGCAAAUGCAAAGGUAUGACAGACUUGACUUAGUUCUCGAUUACCUUUGCAAAUUAAAUCAGGCACAAGGGAGAAAUGAAGUAUUUACAAUGCAAUGAAUGUUUUUAAUUCUCUGGAGUCCGAACUCUGCAUUUCGUGUUCUCCCAUCCUGAUAAAUCAGGGGCCCCAGGGUGCUUAGCUCAGAGUAAAUUCAGGGCUGGUCCUGCAGCCUGGGUCUCAUGUCACAAGUCAAGUCAUGUAUUGUGACAGAAAGUUUCCCUACAAAGAGGAGACAGUUACCACAGGGCUGAGAUGCUGGCCCUGCUGGUCAACAACUGAGCCACCUCUACUAAGCCAUCUUCCCCAGGCCUCAGCUUGCUCAUGUCUAAAAUGGGCAUGGCAGGAGUGCCUGCCUCCUAGGAUGGAAUCCAGGGAGAAGUGCUCAGUGCUCUCAGCCACCACCAGGUUCUCCACCACACUGCUGUUCCUGGAAGGAGCCCAGUGGCUCCUCAGUUCUCUGUGCCUCUCUCCUGAUUCUGGUAGGGUAUCUUGUGCACCCUGGCAUGCUGUUUAGCCUCUUCUCCUGCUGCUAUUUAUUGUUCUCUCCCUCAUGUGUUUGCUUUUUCAGAUUCUAAAAGAAAUCUAUGUGCUAAUACUUGGUGUAUAUUAGGAGUUGAAUACAUGUGUCGACUAAGUGAAUAAGCUUGUGGAAAAAUGGCAAGAAUACGGAUCCUACAGGGCUAUAUUAUAGAAGAAUACACCAUAGAACCCCUGCCUGUGGGCAGAAGCUGCCGAGGGGAUCGAACUCGGGUCCUUGCACUUGCAGGGCAGGCAGCGGAACCACUGAGCUACAUCCCCAGCCUGUCACCUUAUUCUUAACACAGCCCUAUGAGGUAGAUACCAUUACUCCUGUUUUAUAAAUGACAAAAGAAGCUGUAUGUGAUGGCUCACACCUAUAAUUCCAGCACUUAGAAAGCAGAGGCAGGAGGAUCACCAUGAGUUCAAGCCCAGCCUGGCCUACAUAGUGAGGCCUUGUCUCAAAAGAAAUGACAAAAUCAUUCCAGAACAUGGGGGGACACACAACUAAGAAGCAGCCAGGCAACCCCAGACUCCCGAGCUCCUACAUGCUCAUCAGAAUAGCCCAAACCAUCUGGCUAUAGGGUAACAAUACAAAGUGGUUUGAACAAUACUGCUCCCUUCUGGGCUAAGAAAAAUUACUAUGAUUUUAUUUUAAUACAGGCUCAAUACUCUGCCUUAGACUUAAUUGUCCCCUUAUGUUACAACAAACAAGCCCCCAAAAAUGGUAGUAUUGUUAUUCAUACAGAAGAAUUUGUGCUUCUGGCUGGGACAAGAGUUAUGAAG